RNAcentral lists this ribosomal RNA (232 nucleotides) under uncultured bacterium. RNAcentral's name for it is "partial 16S ribosomal RNA". It matches the Rfam family "Bacterial small subunit ribosomal RNA", at positions 123 to 354 of the family's 1533-position model. The record is from RNAcentral.
AACCUGCCGUAUGCAGGGGGACAACAGUCAGAAAUGACUGCUAAUACCGCAUAAGCACACAAUGCUGCAUGGCACGGUGUGAAAAGAUUUAUCGGCAUACGAUGGCCCCGCGUCUGAUUAGCCAGUUGGCAGGGUAAUGGCCUACCAAAGCAACGAUCAGUAGCCGGCUUGAGAGAGUGACCCGGCCACAUUGGGACUGAGACACGGCCCAGACUCCUACGGGAGGCAGCAG